This 253-nucleotide unclassified non-coding RNA is filed under the name uncultured Alphaproteobacteria bacterium. RNAcentral's name for it is "contains 16S-23S intergenic spacer region". It matches the Rfam family "Bacterial small subunit ribosomal RNA", at positions 524 to 776 of the family's 1533-position model. The record is from RNAcentral. Lineage: Bacteria; Pseudomonadati; Pseudomonadota; Alphaproteobacteria.
UACGAAGGGGGCUAGCGUUGUUCGGAAUUACUGGGCGUAAAGGGCGCGUAGGCGGCGCAUCAAGUCAGAUGUGAAAGCCCCGGGCUUAACCUGGGAACAGCAUUUGAGACUGGUGUGCUUGAGUUCCGGAGAGGUGGGUGGAAUUCCCAGUGUAGAGGUGAAAUUCGUAGAUAUUGGGAAGAACACCGGUGGCGAAGGCGGCCCACUGGACGGAUACUGACGCUGAGGCGCGAAAGCGUGGGGAGCAAACAGG